Molecule: ribosomal RNA, 301 nt
Filed under: uncultured bacterium
Lineage: Bacteria
Description: partial 16S ribosomal RNA
Rfam family: Bacterial small subunit ribosomal RNA
Source: RNAcentral
CAGUAGCCGCGGUAAUACGUAGGGUGCGAGCGUUAAUCGGAAUUACUGGGCGUAAAGCGUGCGCAGGCGAUUCGUUAAGACAGAUGUGAAAUCCCCGGGCUUAACCUGGGAACUGCAUUUGUGACUGGCGAGCUAGAGUAUGGCAGAGGGGGGUAGAAUUCCACGUGUAGCAGUGAAAUGCGUAGAGAUGUGGAGGAAUACCGAUGGCGAAGGCAGCCCCCUGGGCCAAUACUGACGCUCAUGCACGAAAGCGUGGGGAGCAAACAGGAUUAGAUACCCCCGUAGUCCCUGUCUCUUAUAC